GAAGGAGGACUGAAAGGAACUCUGGAGGUAUCAGAAGUGAGAAUGCAGGAAUAAGUAGCGAGAAGGGGAGUGAGAAUCUCCCCCGCUGGAAGACCAAGGUUUUCAGGGUAAAGCUUGUCUUCCCUGAGUAAGCCGGGACCUAAGCCCAGGCUAGAAUGCGUAGGCGAAUGGAAAACAGAUGAAUAUUUCUGUGCCAGUUCUACUUUGUGAAGGAGGGACGCAGAAGGGUAUGCGCGCAGACGAACGGAAGAGUCUGUAGAAGCAUGUAGAGUGACUUGGUAGGCAAAUCCGCCAGGUUAGACUUAAGGUGUGACAUAUACUCGCAAGAGGAAUGCGCAAAUCCCACGCUGCCGAGAAAAGCUUCUAGCGGUAAAGUAGAGACUGCCCGUACUGGAAACCGACACAGGUGGUCAGGAUGAGAAAUCUAAAGCGGACAGGCUAACUCUCGUUAAGGAACUCUGCAAAAUGGCCCCGUAACUUCGGGAGAAGGGGUGCCUUUAGGCGUGAGUAUACAAGCGAUACAAAGCGCUUUGAGGUCGCAGUGAAGAGGCUCAAGCAACUGUUUAACAAAAACACAGGUCUAUGCGAAGCUGUAAGGCGAAGUAUAUGGGCUGACACCUGCCCAGUGCCGGAAGGUUAAGAGGAGGAGUGAGAGCUCCGAAUUGAAGCCCCGGUGAACGGCGGCCGUAACUAUAACGGUCCUAAGGUAGCGAAAUUCCUUGUCGGGUAAGUUCCGACCUGCACGAAUGGUGUAAUGAUUUGAGCGCUGUCUUGACGGGAGGCCUGGUGAAAUUGUAUUACCGGUGAAGAUACCGGUUACCUACAGUAGGACGGAAAGACCCCAUGGAGCUUUACUGUAGCUUGGUAUUGGGUUUUGGCAUGGCAUGUAUAGGAUAGUUGGGAGACUGGGAAGGAAUGGCGCUAGCUGUACCGGAGUCAUCGGUGGAAUACCAAC
RNAcentral lists this ribosomal RNA (955 nucleotides) under Fusobacterium necrophorum. RNAcentral's name for it is "partial 23S ribosomal RNA". It matches the Rfam family "Bacterial large subunit ribosomal RNA", at positions 1252 to 2204 of the family's 2925-position model. The record is from RNAcentral. Lineage: Bacteria; Fusobacteriati; Fusobacteriota; Fusobacteriia; Fusobacteriales; Fusobacteriaceae.